This is a non-coding RNA of Pangasianodon hypophthalmus (striped catfish), 508 nucleotides long. Lineage: Eukaryota; Metazoa; Chordata; Actinopteri; Siluriformes; Pangasiidae. The record is from the annotation of a RefSeq genome assembly.
UGCUGCUACAGCAACUUCACCCACAGCUACCAUGACUUUGAUCCCCGUCUUCAUCUGGACACUGAUCUUCUGGACUCAAGAAUGCAGAGGUCAGGCCACAGUAACUCAGACUCCUGCAGUGAAAUCUGCUCUUCCAGGAGAAACAGUCACCAUCAACUGUAGAAUCAGUCAGGCAGUGUACAAGAGCUCAUCUGGUGACUACUUAUACUGGUAUCAGCAGAAACCUGGAGAAGCUCCUAAACUCUUGAUUAAACUUGCGACUCAGCUACAGUCAGGUUUUCCAGCUCGUUUCAGUGGCAGUGGAUCUGGAUCUGAUUUCACUCUGACCAUCAGUGGAGUCCAGACUGAAGAUGCAGGAGAUUACUACUGUCAGAGUGCACAUUCCAUCACUGGCUACUGGUUCACACAGUGUUAUAGAGUCGUACAAAAACCUCCCUCAGUCAGAUUGUAGAGAGACUGCACUGCUGCAGCUGGGAGCGACUGCAGGUGCUGAGUUGUAGGAUGUGAU